This is a long non-coding RNA of Chenopodium quinoa (quinoa), 2042 nucleotides long. RefSeq lists it as uncharacterized. The transcript is spliced from 3 exons. The record is from RefSeq and is a predicted model, not a curated record. NCBI's taxonomy places the organism in Eukaryota, Viridiplantae, Streptophyta, Magnoliopsida, Caryophyllales, Amaranthaceae.
CUUACCAAAUUAUCAUCUUGACAAUUUUAGAAGACUUAUAUUUACCUAUAAAAUAAAUGUAGUACUUAUCUCCAAAAGAUAAUUCCAAUAAAAAAAACACAAAAAAGUGAAAAUAACUCAUUAUCUUUCAUCUCCUAAACCACCAAAAAUGGUGAAAUUUUUUGGCUCCAAUAUUUUCCCACUAAAAGAAUCAGUUAUUAUUAACCCCAGAUUUCAUUUCUUCAUCUCACUAGUACAUUCCCAAUGUCAACCUUAGAUGUCACGGCCAUUAGCUAUUACAAUUUCUUUUCCACUCAAUUUUUACCAAAUUAAUUUAAUACUUCCUCCCGAGAACCCAAUUCAUCUUACAGUAAUUCCCAUAAAUUGCUGGAGUCAAGCUUCCACAUGCGGAAGUUAUGGCGGAGCUUUCUCAACAACCAACAACUCCGGCCACCGCAAAUCUCAUUUCCGACGACGAUUGCUCUGUUGACGGUGAUUCUUGGUCUAUUAAGAUUUAAGAGCGAAUAUGAAGACGAGCUCUCGCUGCUGCUAAUCUCCGCCCUUCCUCUAAUUACAGGAUUUGCCUGCAAUGAUUGUAGUUGCAGAAUAAAUAUUGGCUGAUUUGUAAGAAGCUAUGCAUUAUUCAUCAAUCUUUUGCAAGAAGUCCAAAAGGCAAUGUAUACAAUGUUGCUAAAGAAUCUCAAAUCUACCUCAGGGUUGUUCUUCCUACCUCCUACUUGGGCUGUAUGGGUUGUUUUAAUCGUGGCAGUGCUGUAGUGAACAAGCAUAACUUCAAGUUUACUAAAGAUUGGUAAAUCGACAAUGAAUUCAAACUUUGGUCUUAAGUUGAAGGUGUUGCUGCUACUGCUCUUGGUAUUGCUGCUACUGUUCUUAGUGUCUGGAUGAUGCUGAUGUUGCUUGUGUUCUCUCUACAAAGGAAACAAAGUUCCUUAAUUUUCCAAUGCUUUGCCUUGUGUGCACAAGUUCUUUCUGUUGGUCGUUGAUUUGCUAGUGCCUAUCGUUGGUGUUGCUGCUUGUUGUUUCUUAUGCUAUAUCGUCUCAUGGUGUAACUCUCAGCAAGAGUCAGUGUCCAAAGGCACCUGAUGAGUGAGAAAGAAUGAGUCAGAUCCCACAUGCUUCGCUAAUAGGAUCGAUCAUGUACGCCAUGAUAUGUACAAGGCCAGAUGUAUCGUAUGCAUUGAGUGCUACGAGCCGAUACCAAUCAGACUUGGGAGAGGCGUAUUGGAAUGCGGCCAAGAAUAUCCUAAAAUAACUGAAAAGGAACAAGGAUAAAAACCUGGUCUAUGGUGGGAGUAUGGAUUUGAUUGUUGAAGGUUAUACCGAUGCAAGCUUCUAGAAUGACAGAGACAACUUCAAAUCGCAAUCUAGAUACAUAUUCUGUCUAAAUGGCGGAGCGUUUAGUUGGAAGAGUGCUAAGCAAAGCACGGUUGUAUAUUCUACAACUGAAGCCGAGUACUUAGCAGCCUUAGAAGCAGCUAAGGAGGCAAUUUGGAUUCAAAAUUUUAUUGGUCAACUUGGUGUUGUGCCUUCAAUCAAGAGACCGAUUAACCUGUUUAUGGCAAUAAUGGGGCUAUUGCUCAGGCCAAGGAACCGAGGCAACACCAAAAGGUCAAACAUGUCGAGCAGCGAGUUCACCUCAUAAGGGAAUAGAUUUCCGAAGGUGAAGUCAAGGUUUGUAAAGUUGGAAUGGACGAUAACAUAGCCAAUCCACUUACUAAACCUUUGCCUCAAGUGAAACACAACAAGCACAUUGAGGCAAUGGGAAUUAGGCACAUUGGAGACUGGCUCAAAGUUCCUAUUUUAUGUGUUUUAAUUAAGUUUUGGACAUCUUGAUGUAAAACACUAAGUUAACCAUUCAUAUAUGGAGUAAUUUUAUUUUAUACAAAAAUUAUUAUUCCAUAUCUAUUUAAUUAUUGUGGUUUAGAAUUAAAUAAUGAGUCCAUUCGAUUUGAUGACAUUCAAAAUAGGUUAUCAAGAAAAUGUCUUGGAUAAAUUAAGAAACACCUAUUAAGUGAACAUUGAAUGUCAUAUCAAAACUAUCU